GCCGAAGUAGCUCAGUUGGUAGAGCAACUGAUUUGUAAUCAGUAGGUCGCUGGUUCGACUCCAGUCUUCGGCU
RNAcentral lists this transfer RNA (73 nucleotides) under Flavobacterium sp. Its description in RNAcentral is "tRNA-Thr". It matches the Rfam family "tRNA". From Rfam's summary of the family: Transfer RNA (tRNA) molecules are approximately 80 nucleotides in length. RNAcentral also lists the same sequence under 3 other names. Lineage: Bacteria; Pseudomonadati; Bacteroidota; Flavobacteriia; Flavobacteriales; Flavobacteriaceae. The record is from RNAcentral.